GGGAUCUUAGACAAUGGGCGCAAGCCUGAUCUAGCCAUGCCGCGCGAGCGAUGAAGGCCUUAGGGUUGUAAAGCUCUUUCACCGGGGAAGAUAAUGACGGUCCCCGGAGAAGAAGCCCCGGCUAACUCCGUGCCCGCAGCCGCGGUAAUACGGAGGGGGCUAGCGUUGUUCGGAAUGCCUGGGCGUAAAGCGCGCGUAGGCGGGCUGUUAAGUCGGGGGUGAAAUCCCGGGGCUCAACCCCGGAACUGCCUUCGAUACUGGCAGCCUGGAGUCCGAGAGAGGUGAGUGGAAUUCCGAGUGUAGAGGUGAAAUUCGUAGAUAUUCGGAGGAACACCAGUGGCGAAGGCGGCUCACUGGCUCGGUACUGACGCUGAGGUGCGAAAGCGUGGGGAGCAAAC
This 398-nucleotide ribosomal RNA is filed under the name uncultured bacterium. RNAcentral's name for it is "bacterial SSU rRNA". It matches the Rfam family "Bacterial small subunit ribosomal RNA", at positions 358 to 773 of the family's 1533-position model. The record is from RNAcentral.